CUUGGUCAUUUAGAGGAAGUAAAAGUCGUAACAAGGUUUCCGUAGGUGAACCUGCGGAAGGAUCAUUAAAGAGACGUUGCCCUUCGGGGUAUACCUCCCACCCAUUGUUUAUUAUACCUUUGUGGCUUUGGCAGACCCGGCUUCGGCCCACCGGCUCCGGCUGGUCGGUGUCUGCCAGAGGACCUAAAACUCUGUUUGUUAAUAUUGUCUGAGUACUAUAUAAUAGUUAAAACUUUCAACAACGGAUCUCUUGGUUCUGGCAUCGAUGAAGAACGCAGCGAAAUGCGAUAAGUAAUGUGAAUUGCAGAAUUCAGUGAAUCAUCGAAUCUUUGAACGCACAUUGCGCCCUCUGGUAUUCCGGGGGGCAUGCCUGUUCGAGCGUCAUUACAACCCUCAAGCUUUGCUUGGUAUUGGACAUUGCCAGUUUCUGGCAGGUCUUAAAAUCAGUGGCGGUGCCAUUUGGCUUCAAGCGUAGUAAUUCUUCUCGCUUUGGAGAUCCAGGUGGUUACUUGCCAAUAACCCCCAAUUUUUUCAGGUUGACCUCGGAUCAGGUAGGGAUACCCGCUGAACUUAAGCAUAUCAAUAAGCGGAGGA
Molecule: ribosomal RNA, 594 nt
Filed under: uncultured Thelebolaceae
Lineage: Eukaryota; Fungi; Ascomycota; Leotiomycetes; Thelebolales; Thelebolaceae
Description: eukaryotic LSU rRNA
Rfam family: 5.8S ribosomal RNA (bases 231-384)
Source: RNAcentral